CAGGGGAAGGCGGCGCGGAGGUCCGUCCGUCCCCCGUCAGCACCGAGCCGUCCUCCGCAGUCGCCGUUUGGACGGGAGCCGGUUGGGAACGCGGUCGUCUCUCUGUUUGUCGCUCUGUGCGUUCGUCGAUUAAACAUUUCCCGUUCGUUUCUCGGCGCUUCUGCCCGCGGUCGUUUCUGCAGCUCCGGUAAUCCACCCCGUCCCCGUGCCCACCGCCAGGUAGGAUGCCACUGCAUUUACAGUGCAAUCAAAUGAGAAUGUGACAGAGACUCUGAAAUCCGUGAAACAAAAGACUGAGGCUGAAGAAGCUCCACCUGGGGAAGUCAAGGUGGAGGAAACCCCUGCUGCUGCUGUUGUGGGAAAGGAGGCCAUCCCUGCUGAGCCAGAUGAGCCAACAGAGCAGGCUGCGGUGAGCGAUCUGUCCCCCAUGUCCAUCUCCCAGCCUCAUCUGGGCCAUCUCUCAUCACAGUGAGUGUGCUUGCUGUAUUUCAGCCAUCCCCUCCGUUCCUCAUCAUGGUGGUUUUGUCAGCGUCCAGCUGUGUCACAGCAUGCCUCUCCAGCAACAUUUGCUCCUGUUGGUCCCAAAAUGUAAUUCCUUUUAAGACUGGCACUUUAGCUGGAAGUUCACCUGCAUGGUCUUACAGGCAGUCAGAGGUCAGUGCAGAGCAUCGAAAAAAGGUUUUCAGAUAUGCAGAUACUCUAGCCUUGCAUGGAUCUUUCUGUGGAGCUGAUUGUGUUUCACAUUCCUGCUAGGGGCAAUGGCUCAGGCACUACAAGCCUGAUUGUGACAUUUGUUAACAUAGGGGAACAGCGUUAGGAAAGCGUACAAACAGAAGUGAAGAGUGGCUUGGAAAUGGUCUGAAGCUCUACUCAAUCAGUGUCAGGUUGGUUGUGUGCUGGUGGUGUUGGACCACUGCAGAAGCCACUCAUGAUACCACGCAAACUGUGUGCAGCAGAAAGCUCUGGAGUACAGCUGUAGUUUAAAGGACUUCUCAAGGACAGAGAGAUGAUUUUGCCUGGAUAGUUCCAACUGUGUCACUGGAUUAAAAACUGGUAUCAAAUGUGCAUAAAAUGAAAAGGCAGGCUGAGCUUUAGUUGCAGCACCUGCCUGGUUACCAUUUCUCCCUUGCUCCUAUCUUCCUAACAGGGUAAAAAGAAUUUGUUGUAGAUGGAAAUGGGGACAGUUUUCUGCAUGCUGUUCUGGAGAACUUUGAGGGAGAGGAGGAUGAUCCUUGUCUAAUCCUUCCUAUUUGCUCUGGAUUCCUACCUGUGAGAGCAGCAUUGUAACGGUAGAGGAAAGCAAUGCCAAUGUGUUCCCUAGAAUUAUGAAUUGGACUUGCUUCUAAUUAAAUCAUGAAUAUUGAGUGUGUUUAA
Centrocercus urophasianus (Greater sage-grouse) is the source of this 1374-nucleotide long non-coding RNA. RefSeq lists it as uncharacterized. The record is from RefSeq and is a predicted model, not a curated record. Lineage: Eukaryota; Metazoa; Chordata; Aves; Galliformes; Phasianidae. The transcript is spliced from 3 exons.